This 297-nucleotide ribosomal RNA is filed under the name uncultured bacterium. RNAcentral describes it as "partial 16S ribosomal RNA". It matches the Rfam family "Bacterial small subunit ribosomal RNA", at positions 333 to 628 of the family's 1533-position model. The record is from RNAcentral.
UUGUACCUACGGGGCGCAGCAGUGAGGAAUAUUGGUCAAUGGGCGAGAGCCUGAACCAGCCAAGUCGCGUGAGGGAAGACGGCCCUACGGGUUGUAAACCUCUUUUGUCAGGGAGCAAGAACGGAUACGUGUAUCCGAGCGAGAGUACCUGAAGAAAAAGCAUCGGCUAACUCCGUGCCAGCAGCCGCGGUAAUACGGAGGAUGCGAGCGUUAUCCGGAUUUAUUGGGUUUAAAGGGUGCGUAGGCGGAAUGCCAAGUCAGCGGUAAAAUCGCGGGGCUCAACCUCGCUCCGCCGUU